Molecule: transfer RNA, 51 nt
Filed under: Mesabolivar sp. ITV1036I2
Lineage: Eukaryota; Metazoa; Arthropoda; Arachnida; Araneae; Pholcidae
Description: tRNA-His
Source: RNAcentral
AAUAUUUUUGGGAUUUUAUAGUUCCACAGUCUAUCGUUUAUAUUAACUUAA